Molecule: ribosomal RNA, 443 nt
Filed under: Lentzea sp.
Lineage: Bacteria; Bacillati; Actinomycetota; Actinomycetes; Pseudonocardiales; Pseudonocardiaceae
Description: bacterial SSU rRNA
Rfam family: Bacterial small subunit ribosomal RNA
Source: RNAcentral
CACAUGCAAGUCGAGCGGUAAGGCCCUUCGGGGUACACGAGCGGCGAACGGGUGAGUAACACGUGGGUAACCUGCCCUGUACUCUGGGAUAAGCCUUGGAAACGAGGUCUAAUACCGGAUACGACACUGGAUCGCAUGAUUCGGUGUGGAAAGUUCCGGCGGUAUGGGAUGGACCCGCGGCCUAUCAGCUUGUUGGUGGGGUAAUGGCCUACCAAGGCGACGACGGGUAGCCGGCCUGAGAGGGUGACCGGCCACACUGGGACUGAGACACGGCCCAGACUCCUACGGGAGGCAGCAGUGGGGAAUAUUGCACAAUGGGCGAAAGCCUGAUGCAGCGACGCCGCGUGAGGGAUGACGGCCUUCGGGUUGUAAACCUCUUUCAGCAGGGACGAAGCGCAAGUGACGGUACCUGCAGAAGAAGCACCGGCUAACUACGUGCCAGC